GAUGAACGCUGGCGGCGUGCCUAAUACAUGCAAGUCGAGCGGUAAGGCCCCUUCGGGGGUACACGAGCGGCGGACGGCUGAGUAACACGUAGGAACGUACCCCAAACUGAGGGAUAAGCACCGGAAACGGUGUCUAAUACCGCAUGUGCUCUUCGGAGUAAAGCUACGGCGGUUUGGGAACGGCCUGCGCAUGAUUAGCUAGUUGGUGAGGUAAUGGCUCACCAAGGCGACGAUCAUUAGCUGGUCUGAGAGGAUGAUCAGCCAGACUGGGACUGAGAACGGCCCAGACUCCUACGGGAGGCAGCAGUAGGGAAUUUUCCACAAUGGGGGCAACCCUGAUGGAGCAACGCCGCGUGCAGGAUGAAGGGUUUCGGCUCGUAAACUGCUUUUAUCUGUGACGAUUAUGACGGUAGCGGAUGAAUAAGGACCGGCUAACUCCGUGCCAGCAGCCGCCGUAA
RNAcentral lists this ribosomal RNA (458 nucleotides) under uncultured bacterium. RNAcentral's name for it is "partial 16S ribosomal RNA". It matches the Rfam family "Bacterial small subunit ribosomal RNA", at positions 28 to 523 of the family's 1533-position model. The record is from RNAcentral.